This 230-nucleotide ribosomal RNA is filed under the name uncultured bacterium. Its description in RNAcentral is "partial 16S ribosomal RNA". It matches the Rfam family "Archaeal small subunit ribosomal RNA", at positions 518 to 747 of the family's 1478-position model. The record is from RNAcentral.
UCCGUAGCCGGUUUGAUCAGUUCUUCGGGAAAUCUGACAGCUCAACUGUUAGGCUUCCGGGGAAUACUGUCAGACUUGGGACCGGGAGAGGUAAGAGGUACUACAGGGGUAGGAGUGAAAUCUUGUAAUCCCUGUGGGACCACCAGUGGCGAAGGCGUCUUACCAGAACGGGUCCGACGGUGAGGGACGAAAGCUGGGGGCACGAACAGGAUUAGAUACCCUGGUAGUCC